UGAGCAUAUUAAAAGAUUUUAAUGUAAGGA
This 30-nucleotide non-coding RNA is filed under the name Mus musculus (house mouse). Lineage: Eukaryota; Metazoa; Chordata; Mammalia; Rodentia; Muridae. The record is from RNAcentral.